RNAcentral lists this microRNA precursor (61 nucleotides) under Dasypus novemcinctus (nine-banded armadillo). Its description in RNAcentral is "microRNA dno-mir-590 precursor". Its record names the gene dno-mir-590. Lineage: Eukaryota; Metazoa; Chordata; Mammalia; Cingulata; Dasypodidae. The record is from miRBase by way of RNAcentral.
GAGCGUAUUCAUAAAAUUACAGUAUAAUCCAGCUAGCCUGUAAUUUUAUGUAUAAACUAGU